RNA transcript from Daphnia pulicaria, 1774 nucleotides. It is a transcript of the gene named bestrophin-6-like, with no coding region annotated. The record is from RefSeq and is a predicted model, not a curated record. The transcript has 13 exons. NCBI's taxonomy places the organism in Eukaryota, Metazoa, Arthropoda, Branchiopoda, Diplostraca, Daphniidae.
AUACUUCCAGUAAGGGUACAGCAACGCCCGGUUUGACGAACCGUGUUAGCCCAAUUGGAGAUUGCAUACCCCCCAUCCUUUCUCGCCGAGUGAGAUUUCAAAUAGCAUGCCAAAUUCUGAUCAAAAUUUUAUAGAUUCAAAUAGCAGUUGUCGAGGGUCCUAUUACACGAUGAGCAGUAAAAAGGCAUCGAUCGUGAUGUUAGCUGCUGCUGACGCCAGCCGUUUUGGCGAAAGUAUUAACAUUGUCUUCCGAUGGAAGAGAAGUCUCUACAAGAUGAUUUGGAGGCAUUCACUGGUUUUCCUUGUCGUUUACUUCUCGUUAACAGCACUCUACAAUUUCGGUUUGGGAAAGGACAACAAAAAACACUUUGAGGCUUUGAGCGCCUAUUUCGCCCGCUACACGCGCUCGUUUAACUGGAUGAUUAUGCUCGGAUUCUUCACCAACACGGCGCUGCAUCGCUUGUUCACUCUGCAGAUGACGACGCCUGGUACAGCUAAAACCACUACCAUCUUCAUCAUGUCUCUGAAACAAGAUUUACCUGAAGGUCCGGAUAUUGUUGACCAGUACGCCCGGUGGGUUGUCCUCGCAUGGAUCCUCACAUUCCGCUCCGUGUGCAAACCUUUGCGAGACAAAUUUCCAAAUUUAACUGCAAUCCAAACUUCAGGGAUCCUUCUGGAGGAGGAGAAACGUAUUCUUCAGCGCGGAGGAUAUCCCACACCACGCCCUUUAAUUGUCAUCGAGUGGUUACUUUUGCUGCUCAAAGAGUGUGUCAAGGAAGACCGUUAUAUUAACAAGUCAAGUCACAACAAGAACGUUGAAGCCGUCAUGACGUUCAAAAAAGGUUGCAGCAAUAUCAUCAAGUUCUCUACACAGAACAUUCCAUACGCUGUCAUUCAGGCCGUCAUCAUUGUAGUCUACUGCUUCGGGGUGGUUACGGCGAUGGCUCGCAAUCUUCCAAAGUUUGACAAUGAAAUCGUCCGCCACGUCAUUGGGUACUUCCCCGUGAUGCCCUACAUCCAGUUUUUCGUAUUCAUCGCUUGGCUCAGUGUCGGCAGAGCAGCCGUGAAUCCAUUUGGAAACGACGACACGGACAUUGACGUCAGAAAACUUUGCGAAGCUCACAUGCAGGAUCUCAACUGGCUGACAGAAUUGUAUACGAAAAAGUUGGAUGACGUCUUUUAUAAUUUGCCUCAAAAGCAAUUUAGAUCUAAUAACCAAGAACAGCCUUCAAAGCUUCCAUUCCUAGAAACAGCCUGCUGAUUUCGGCAAAGAUUUGCGCUGUUGUCCAAAGUGUUUUCGAAAAAUCCUCAUACAACGCACAGAGCAAAUUGCACAUGCACCAUCGCAAUUUAUUCAAGCGAAUAUUUUGUUUGCGUUGCCACAGAAUCUUCGACGUGUAGACACAUCCUCUGCUGCUGCAGUUGAUUUAAUUGUUGACUCUGAUUCUGUUUUAAGCAUUUUUCAAGUCCAUCGCUCGAACCGAUGAUCGUAGCAUUUAAGUGGAUAAAAAAAAAUGGAUCAACUACCAGCACCAAAAAUGGCAAACGAAAUUAACGCGUAAAUCCAAAAAGACUUUCACAGGUACCAGAUUAAAUUUUAAAAGCCGCAUUUUGCAUAAAUAUUUGACCCAGACGAUAGAGGAUUUUCUACUUUCUCGAUUCAAAAGUCGUCGCCUUAACUUGCCACUGCUGCAACCUAUGGCUUACAGGUAAUCAGGUGCACAUUACUAUGACACGACCUUCAUAAGGAGAGACACGUGAAUUCAAAAGAAUU